CGGCGCACGGGUGCGGAACGCGUAUGGAACCUGCCCCUGUCAGGGGAAUAGCCCAGGGAAACUUGGAUUAAUGCCCCAUGGUACCGUUAUAUCGCAUGAUAUUUCGGUUAAAGAUUUAUCGGACAGGGAUGGCCAUGCGUACCAUUAGUUAGUUGGUGGGGUAACGGCCCACCAAGGCAGCGAUGGUUAGGGGCCCUGAGAGGGGGAUCCCCCACACUGGUACUGAGACACGGACCAGACUCCUACGGGAGGCAGCAGUGAGGAAUAUUGGACAAUGGGCGGGAGCCUGAUCCAGCCAUGCCGCGUGCAGGAUGACGGCCCUAUGGGUUGUAAACUGCUUUUAUACGGGAAGAAACGCACCUACGUGUAGGUGUCUGACGGUACCGUAAGAAUAAGGACCGGCUAACUCCGUGCCAGCAGCCGCGGUAAUACGGAGGGUCCGAGCGUUAUCCGGAAUCAUUGGGUUUAAAGGGUCCGUAGGCGGGCCUGUAAGUCAGGGGUGAAAGUUUGUGGCUCAACCAUAAAAUUGCCUUUGAUACUGCAGGUCUUGAGUCAUGGUGGGGUCGCCGGAACAUGUGGUGUAGCGGUGAAAUGCAUAGAUAUCACAUAGAACACCGAUCGCGAAGGCAGGUGACCAACCAUGUACUGACGCUGAUGGACGAAAGCGUGGGUAGCGAACGGGAUUAGAUACCCCGGUAGUCCACGCCGUAAACGAUGGAUACUAGCUGUGGGGACUUCGGUCUCCGUGGCCAAGCGAAAGUGAUAAGUAUCCCACCUGGGGAGUACGUUCGCAAGAAUGAAACUCAAAGGAAUUGACGGGGGCCCGCACAAGCGGUGGAGCAUGUGGUUUAAUUCGAUGAUACGCGAGGAACCUUACCAGGGCUUAAAUGCAGGCUGCAUGGGGUGGAGACACCCCUUUCUUCGGACUGCCUGCAAGGUGCUGCAUGGUUGUCGUCAGCUCGUGCCGUGAGGUGUCAGGUUAAGUCCUAUAACGAGCGCAACCCCUACCGUUAGUUGCCAGCAUGUAAAGAUGGGGACUCUAGCGGGACUGCCGGUGCAAACCGUGAGGAAGGUGGGGACGACGUCAAAUCAUCACGGCCCUUACGUCCUGGGCUACACACGUGCUACAAUGGCCGGUACAGAGGGAAGCCACCCCGCAAGGGGGCGCGGAUCUACAAAACCGGUCACAGUUCGGAUCGGGGUCUGCAACUCGACCCCGUGAAGCUGGAAUCGCUAGU
This 1238-nucleotide ribosomal RNA is filed under the name Flavobacteriaceae bacterium. RNAcentral describes it as "bacterial SSU rRNA". It matches the Rfam family "Bacterial small subunit ribosomal RNA", at positions 96 to 1339 of the family's 1533-position model. Lineage: Bacteria; Pseudomonadati; Bacteroidota; Flavobacteriia; Flavobacteriales; Flavobacteriaceae. The record is from RNAcentral.